CAUAACUGGACUUCCUCUGUGCCG
RNAcentral lists this non-coding RNA (24 nucleotides) under Cricetulus griseus (Chinese hamster). Lineage: Eukaryota; Metazoa; Chordata; Mammalia; Rodentia; Cricetidae. The record is from RNAcentral.